CCUAAUGUUGGCAAAAAGGCGACUAGAGAAUGGAGGCCCUAUGUCUAAAAAGCUCAACUCAGGGAUUGGAGCCCCAAUGUUGGCAAAAGGCGACUAGGGAAUGGAGGCCCUAUGUCUAAAAAGCUCAACUCAGGGAUUAGAGCCCUAAUGUUGGCAAAAGGUGACUAGGGAAUGGAAGCACUGUGUCUAAAAAGCUCAACUCAGGGAUUGGAGCCCUAAUACUGGCAAAAGGCGACUAGGGAAUGGAGGCCCUAUGUCUAAAAAGCUCAACUUAGGGAUUGGAGCCCUAAUGUUGGCAAAAACGACUAGGGAAUGGAGGCCCUGUGUCUAAAAAGGCUCAACUCAGGGAUUGGAGCCCUAAUGUUGGCGGAUAAAGCAACUAGGGAAUGGAGGCCCUAUGUCU
Molecule: long non-coding RNA, 403 nt
Filed under: Nicotiana tabacum (common tobacco)
Lineage: Eukaryota; Viridiplantae; Streptophyta; Magnoliopsida; Solanales; Solanaceae
Description: long non-coding RNA (NTAB_LNC011880)
Source: RNAcentral